RNAcentral lists this ribosomal RNA (1831 nucleotides) under Salmonella enterica subsp. enterica serovar Typhimurium. RNAcentral's name for it is "bacterial LSU rRNA". It matches the Rfam family "Bacterial large subunit ribosomal RNA", at positions 1129 to 2925 of the family's 2925-position model. The record is from RNAcentral. Lineage: Bacteria; Pseudomonadati; Pseudomonadota; Gammaproteobacteria; Enterobacterales; Enterobacteriaceae.
AAAGCGUAAUAGCUCACUGGUCGAGUCGGCCUGCGCGGAAGAUGUAACGGGGCUAAACCAUGCACCGAAGCUGCGGCAGCGACGCUGAUGCGUUGUUGGGUAGGGGAGCGUUCUGUAAGCCUGCGAAGGUGACCUGUGAGGGUUGCUGGAGGUAUCAGAAGUGCGAAUGCUGACAUAAGUAACGAUAAAGCGGGUGAAAAGCCCGCUCGCCGGAAGACCAAGGGUUCCUGUCCAACGUUAAUCGGGGCAGGGUGAGUCGACCCCUAAGGCGAGGCCGAAAGGCGUAGUCGAUGGGAAACGGGUUAAUAUUCCCGUACUUGGUGUUACUGCGAAGGGGGGACGGAGAAGGCUAUGUUGGCCGGGCGACGGUUGUCCCGGUUUAAGCGUGUAGGUGUGUGUUCCAGGUAAAUCCGGUUCACUUUAACACUGAGGCGUGACGACGAGGCACUACGGUGCUGAAGCAACAAAUGCCCUGCUUCCAGGAAAAGCCUCUAAGCAUCAGGUAACAUCAAAUCGUACCCCAAACCGACACAGGUGGUCAGGUAGAGAAUACCAAGGCGCUUGAGAGAACUCGGGUGAAGGAACUAGGCAAAAUGGUGCCGUAACUUCGGGAGAAGGCACGCUGACACGUAGGUGAAGUGAUUUACUCAUGGAGCUGAAGUCAGUCGAAGAUACCAGCUGGCUGCAACUGUUUAUUAAAAACACAGCACUGUGCAAACACGAAAGUGGACGUAUACGGUGUGACGCCUGCCCGGUGCCGGAAGGUUAAUUGAUGGGGUCAGCGCAAGCGAAGCUCCUGAUCGAAGCCCCGGUAAACGGCGGCCGUAACUAUAACGGUCCUAAGGUAGCGAAAUUCCUUGUCGGGUAAGUUCCGACCUGCACGAAUGGCGUAAUGAUGGCCAGGCUGUCUCCACCCGAGACUCAGUGAAAUUGAACUCGCUGUGAAGAUGCAGUGUACCCGCGGCAAGACGGAAAGACCCCGUGAACCUUUACUAUAGCUUGACACUGAACAUUGAGCCUUGAUGUGUAGGAUAGGUGGGAGGCUUUGAAGUGUGGACGCCAGUCUGCAUGGAGCCGACCUUGAAAUACCACCCUUUAAUGUUUGAUGUUCUAACGUGGACCCGUAAUCCGGGUUGCGGACAGUGUCUGGUGGGUAGUUUGACUGGGGCGGUCUCCUCCUAAAGAGUAACGGAGGAGCACGAAGGUUGGCUAAUCCUGGUCGGACAUCAGGAGGUUAGUGCAAUGGCAUAAGCCAGCUUGACUGCGAGCGUGACGGCGCGAGCAGGUGCGAAAGCAGGUCAUAGUGAUCCGGUGGUUCUGAAUGGAAGGGCCAUCGCUCAACGGAUAAAAGGUACUCCGGGGAUAACAGGCUGAUACCGCCCAAGAGUUCAUAUCGACGGCGGUGUUUGGCACCUCGAUGUCGGCUCAUCACAUCCUGGGGCUGAAGUAGGUCCCAAGGGUAUGGCUGUUCGCCAUUUAAAGUGGUACGCGAGCUGGGUUUAGAACGUCGUGAGACAGUUCGGUCCCUAUCUGCCGUGGGCGCUGGAGAACUGAGGGGGGCUGCUCCUAGUACGAGAGGACCGGAGUGGACGCAUCACUGGUGUUCGGGUUGUCAUGCCAAUGGCACUGCCCGGUAGCUAAAUGCGGAAGAGAUAAGUGCUGAAAGCAUCUAAGCACGAAACUUGCCCCGAGAUGAGUUCUCCCUGAGACUUAGAGUCUCCUGAAGGAACGUUGAAGACGACGACGUUGAUAGGCCGGGUGUGUAAGCGCAGCGAUGCGUUGAGCUAACCGGUACUAAUGAACCGUGAGGCUUAACCUUACAACGCCGAAG